This 301-nucleotide ribosomal RNA is filed under the name uncultured bacterium. RNAcentral's name for it is "partial 16S ribosomal RNA". It matches the Rfam family "Bacterial small subunit ribosomal RNA", at positions 509 to 807 of the family's 1533-position model. The record is from RNAcentral.
CAGUCGCCGCGGUAAUACGAAGGGUGCAAGCGUUAAUCGGAAUUACUGGGCGUAAAGCGUGCGUAGGCGGUUUGUUAAGUCUGUUGUGAAAUCCCCGGGCUCAACCUGGGAAUGGCAAUGGAUACUGGCAAGCUAGAGUGUGUCAGAGGAUGGUGGAAUUCCCGGUGUAGCGGUGAAAUGCGCAGAGAUCGGGAGGAACAUCAGUGGCGAAGGCGGCCAUCUGGGACAACACUGACGCUGAGGCACGAAAGCGUGGGGAGCAAACAGGAUUAGAUACCCGAGUAGUCCCUGUCUCUUAUAC